AUGCGUCAGCCGGCAAGGACGCCCACUGCUCGCAGCAUGAUGGGUGUAGCAGUGAUGUUGGUGAUGUCGCUCCAUUUUUGCCGAGCGGUUUCUGCAACAGCUGCAGUGGCGGCAGCAACUCUUCACUACGCGGUGGGCGGAGACGAAUGCAGAAGUGGCCUCAAGCCGUGGUGGAGAAAGCGAACAGAGCACGAACGGAAAGAAGAAAAGAGGAAAACUGACUCACGAGAAAUGUGUGGAUGGCUUCGCGAAGGAAGGGAUAAGGCUGGAUGUGUGAUAGCCCCACAGGGACACGCGUUGCCCGCUCGAGGCGGAUGA
RNAcentral lists this ribosomal RNA (318 nucleotides) under Triticum aestivum (bread wheat). RNAcentral describes it as "partial small subunit ribosomal RNA". Lineage: Eukaryota; Viridiplantae; Streptophyta; Magnoliopsida; Poales; Poaceae. The record is from RNAcentral.